GAUGAACGCUAGCUACAGGCUUAACACAUGCAAGUCGAGGGGAAACGACAUCGAAAGCUUGCUUUUGAUGGGUGUCGACCGGCGCACGGGUGAGUAACGCGUAUCCAACCUGCCCACCACUUGGGGAUAACCUUGCGAAAGUAAGACUAAUACCCAAUGAUAUCCCACGAAGGCAUCCGAAUGGGAUUAAAGAUUUAUCGGUGAUGGAUGGGGAUGCGUCUGAUUAGCUUGUUGGCGGGGUAACGGCCCACCAAGGCUACGAUCAGUAGGGGUUCUGAGAGGAAGGUCCCCCCACAUUGGAACUGAGACACGGUCCAAACUCCUACGGGAGGCAGCAGUGAGGAAUAUUGGUCAAUGGGCGAGAGCUUGAACCAGCCAAGUAGCGUGCAGGACGACGGCCCCUAUGGGUUGUAAACUGCUUUUAUAAGGGAAUAAAGUGAGUCUCGUGAGACUUUUUUGCAUGUACCUUAUGAAUAAGGACCGGCUAAUUCCGUG
This 495-nucleotide ribosomal RNA is filed under the name uncultured bacterium. RNAcentral's name for it is "bacterial SSU rRNA". It matches the Rfam family "Bacterial small subunit ribosomal RNA", at positions 28 to 507 of the family's 1533-position model. The record is from RNAcentral.